This 82-nucleotide small RNA is filed under the name Flavobacterium sp. 11. RNAcentral describes it as "Flavo-1 RNA". It matches the Rfam family "Flavo-1 RNA". The record is from RNAcentral. RNAcentral also lists the same sequence under 1 other name. Lineage: Bacteria; Pseudomonadati; Bacteroidota; Flavobacteriia; Flavobacteriales; Flavobacteriaceae.
CCCUAGCCCUGAUGGCAGCGGCAUCCUUUUUUGUUCGUCUUUUCGGCGAACAAAAAAGAUACAGCGAACAGCAGGAAAUUGC